CCGCCCGUCACACCAUGAGAGUUGAUAAUACCAGAAGUCGGUAUUCUAACCGCAAGGAGGAAGCCGCCCAAGGUAGGAUUGAUGAUUAGGGUGAAGUCGUAACAAGGUAUCCGUACGAGAACGUGCGGAUGGAUCACCUCCUUUCUAUGGAGUUAAUACUUUAUAGUAAUUAACUAGUUUUAAUGACCGUUAUGUUUAGUUUUCAGAGAUUAGUUUCUCUGAAAAUAACAAGUAAAUGUUAUUGGAAUUGUUCUUUGAAAACUGGAUAAUAGACAUCUAGUUAUUUUAAUCACAUGAUUAAAAUAACAAUAAUUCAAAAUUUCUGUUAUUUUUAAAAAAUAACUAAAAUUUCACAGUUAUAUUUGUAAAUGAUUCUCAAAAAACUGAUUUAAAAUCAGGUCAAAUAAUUUAUAAAACUUUGAAGUUACAAAGGGCGUAUGGUGAAUGCCUUGGGAAUAGGAGACGAUGAAGGACGUGACUACCUGCGAUAAGGUUCGGGGAGCUGGAAGUAAGCUUUGAUCCGGACAUGUCCGAAUGGGGAAACCCGGUGAGAUUAAUCUCUCAUCAUCCUAUAAUGAAUAAAUAGUUAUAGUGAAGGUAUACCUAGGGAAUUGAAACAUCUUAGUACCUAGAGGAAAAGAAAGCGAAUGCGAUUCUCUUAGUAGCGGCGAGCGAACGGGGAACAGCCCAAACCAGAUUUAUCUGGGGUUGUAGGACCAUAAAUAGUAGAGUUACAAAACUUGUUUAUAGUAGAAAUGGUUGGGAAACCAUGCCGUAGAGGGUGAUAGCCCCGUAUACGAAAUAGACAAGACUCGAAAUGGAAUCCUGAGUACGGCGAGACACGUGAAAUCUUGUCGGAAUCAACGCGGACCACCGCGUAAGGCUAAAUACUACCUAUUCACCGAUAGUGAACCA
RNAcentral lists this small RNA (915 nucleotides) under Spiroplasma citri. RNAcentral describes it as "bacterial LSU rRNA". The stretch from base 418 to 915 matches the Rfam family "Bacterial large subunit ribosomal RNA", at positions 1 to 497 of the family's 2925-position model. The record is from RNAcentral. Lineage: Bacteria; Bacillati; Mycoplasmatota; Mollicutes; Entomoplasmatales; Spiroplasmataceae.